GAUGAACGCUGGCGGCGUGCCUAAUACAUGCAAGUCGAGCGAAGCGGGGACGGGUGAGUAACACGUGGAUAACCUCCUAUAAGACUGGGAUAACUUCGGGAACCCUGAGCAAACCCGGAAACUUAUCGAUGGAUCUGCGCUGCAUUAGCUAGUUGGUAAGGUAACGGCUGACCAAGGCAACGAUGCAUAGCGGACCUGAGAGGGUGAUCGGCCACACUGGAACUGAGACACGGCCCAGACUCCUACGGGAGGCAGCAGUGGGGAAUCUUCCGCAAUGGGCGAAAGCCUGACGGAGCAACGCCGCGUGAGUGAUGAAGGCCUUCGGAUCGUAAAACUCUGUUAGUAGGGAAGCGGUACCUAAACAGAAAGCCACGGCUAACUACGUGCCAGCAGCCGCGGUAAUAC
RNAcentral lists this ribosomal RNA (405 nucleotides) under uncultured bacterium. RNAcentral's name for it is "partial 16S ribosomal RNA". It matches the Rfam family "Bacterial small subunit ribosomal RNA", at positions 28 to 526 of the family's 1533-position model. The record is from RNAcentral.